This 8819-nucleotide long non-coding RNA is filed under the name Lactuca sativa (garden lettuce). Its description in RNAcentral is "long non-coding RNA (LSAT_LNC005637)". The stretch from base 6684 to 6790 matches the Rfam family "Plant small nucleolar RNA R71". Lineage: Eukaryota; Viridiplantae; Streptophyta; Magnoliopsida; Asterales; Asteraceae. The record is from RNAcentral.
UUAGAAUUAAUCCUACCAAUCAAUCAAACCAUAUUGUCAACUUUGUAUCCCCAAACAGAAGUCUAAAGGUUUUAGCUCAUAAUUGAAGUAAAUAACAGCAAACAAACAAAGUCAAAUUGUUUAACCAUAAUGAUAAAACAAAAGAAUAAGUGGAAUGAUGAAAUUUUGCCUCAAUUAUUCUUCGGGAUUGAAUUCUAGCUUCUCUCGUCGUCUUCUAGGGUUUUUCUGCCUGCUCAAUCGCGACUAAACUCUUCUGAAUCGUUCCAGAAUUCCUCUCCAUCGUUCUGAGGAGCUAUCUCUAUAUAUACGAAUCGACUCGUCGAGUCCAUCUCUUAGUCCCCGUAUUGUGAUAAGUCUCUGGGAUCCCGAGUCAUUAUCUUCUCGAUUCUUCGAUCAGACUCGCCGAGUAGUCGACCCUACUCGCCGAGUAGGUGUUAUUUUUGGUGUUUUUCUUCUUUAUUCCAUUCUUGAUCUCUCAACCGCUUCUCCUGCUUCCUUCUGCUUCCGAGCUUCAUUUUUGGACUGAAAAUAUAAUUCAAACACUUUUAAGUACCUUUUGUCCAUAAAAUGCAAUAAUUUAGCUAAUAAAUGAAUAAAAAUCUAUACUUAAUAUGAACUAAAUAUGCACAUAUCAAAAUACCCCACACUUGACUUUUGCUUGCCCCCAAGCAAAACUAAAUUUUAAAACAUUAGAAUCAUAUAUGACAACUCCAAUCUAACCCAGCCAUUAUGCCAAGACCGCAACGCAUGCAUUUGUGUCUAAAAUUUUUCCUAAGGACCUCCCAUACUCCAAAUACUCACAAUCCUCAUAAACAUUCGCCCACUCACCCCGAACUAUGCUCAUUUUAUGCAACCCUCCGAAUCCGUCCGCAGAAAACCUCUUACCCUCAAAGUAUUUUUAAUUGAGCAACCCAAGCAUACAUAAUCUAGAAUUACACUUUUCGAUACCACAUUGGAGCUCUUUGGAAUUCUUCACUUCUUUGAUAAUUUGAUCUUUGAUCUCUUUGAAUUCACCACCUUUAUUGAUUUUUGGUAUCUUCAACUUUUUUGAACUUCUUGGAAUUUUCAUCUUCUAAUUUCAUUUUUGACUUUGAUGCUCCAAAAUUCUUACAACUUUUCUUGUAAUUCUCUCUUUUUUUUUCUUACAUGUACCUCACUUUUUUCACUCAAAUCCCUACAUGCUUAAGCAGGGGCGCUCAAUCUCAACCUUUAUUGGCUAACGAUAACAAUCUUCCUGGAUACAUUUCAGGUUCAGGCUGCUAAACAUAUUGCAUCCCUCGGGCUGAGCAAGGUCGUGUUUUUGUCCCAUGAUUUCACUGGAAUAAGGAAGCCACAAAUGCACUAGAACGUAUAUAGGCUCAACUAAACAUUUGGGUCUUCAUGCAAUUAUCAACACAAUUCUAACAUGGAAUCCUAAUUUUACUUUUACCAAAAUUUCCUAAAUUAAAUCCUAAGUAAUAUUUUUGGUAUGCAACAAAUAUUUUUAAAAUUAGUCUAAAUUAAGAUUCUAAAUUUUCUAAUAUGUAACCAACCCCCUACCCCACACUUAUUUUAUGCAAUGCCCUCAUUGCAUAUUAUGCAAAAAAAAUAAAAAUGCAAAUAUAUAGAGGGAAUUGGAACAAACUCCCCUGGGGUAGCAGUCGAUAGGUUGAUACUCUCUUCUUUAGCUCCUUCUUCAAUUGACUUCAGCCAUGGGAACAGCUCAUCCAUGACUUGGGUGUCAAAAUCUCAUGUGGCAGCUCCAAAUAUGCAGGGGAAACAGUGUAAGAUCUUUAAGAAUCGAUAUGGAGGAAUAAGUGGUCAAUUGGUACACUCAUCAGCAUCAAAUCAGCAGUCCUCUCGGUAUAAAAAUGAAUGACUCGUCGAGUCAUAUAUGUGACUCGUCGAGUAUAAAUGCGGACAUCUUCGUAUGUGUGAGAAUACAAGGCGACUCGUCGAGUCAGUUUAGUGUACUUGACGAGUAGACCGCUGGACGAAAAAAAAUUGGAAUUCUGCAUUUGUUCCAGCCUGCAAUAGAUCUUCAAAACUUUCUCCUCACUUCUGGACUCAGUCGCUCAUGUCCCUAAGGACCGGACUCGAUACUUUGACUCUCAUGCUUCCCGUUCUUGACUCUCUAUCACUCUUAUAACCCUUUUUUACUCUAUAACUUUAACCCUCCUAUGCAAGCAUUCCUAAUUCAAUUCUGAAAAAUAAUCAAAGCAAACACACAUUAAACAAAACAGUAAAAAGUCUUAACACAUUCAAACAAACCAAAUAAAAAACAAAAACAUAAAAAUUGAAAAUUGUCUAAUAAAAAUGCAAAGAAAUUAAUCCUCCUCCUUGUCAUGAUCCGUUGCUGUUCCACUUCCUCCCGCACCACUCCUUCUUGCACUAAUCACCUCGUCCCACGAUGGAAUGUACGGAAAGUUACCGCCAUCAAUAUGCGGUAUGUUGAAGUGAUCGAAAAGCCGAAUAUGUGAUUGAUUGCUAAAAUUAAUGCCCCGCGCCAUUUGAUCUUGUAGCCGCCUCAUCUCCACAUUGUACCAAUCCAUUGGUACCUCUUCAUUAUCAACCGGAAUCACCGGCGGCUCUUCCUCCACAUCCCGCUCCCUCCUCGAACGAACCCUCCUUCCCGGUGCUUCGGGACCAACUACCGGAUCAUCAUGCGGGAUAGCAUAAUGACCACCACCAUAGUCUUCAAUAAUCCUGGCCCGCUGGAAAAGAAUUGGAUUGAAUGGAGAUGUAGGAAUCAUCGUCAUAAAGUUCCAUGCACCACGGGUCAUCAACCCAAACGAGUUGGCUAGCCGGGUGAUAAACAUACCACCAUUGAUUCGAGAAGUUUUGUGAUCCUUAACCGCACCCUCCGAUAGAUAUGAAGCCAAACACCAUGGAAUAUUGCAAAAAAUGUCGGGUGUGAUAAUGCUCCAUAAAUAGAAGACAUCAAGGUUAGAAACCUUGUCAUCAUCCUUCCUUUGGUUAAUAGUGGAUGAAAUGAGACGAUGAAUAAGGCGGUGCGUAGGUGAUCGGAUGCUCCCCUCUUGUGCCGAUUUUGGAAUAUAAACUUUGUUGCCAAUCGUGUUCCACCACCCCGUGCUAGUAACUCCAUCGGGAAACACCAUGUGGGAUUGCCCCAAAAAGGCCCGAAAGAUAUCUGUUGAGACCAAGGGCUGGUCAUAAAUUCCCAAUCGACAGGCAAGGUCGAGCACGGAACAUUGAUGAAAUUCACCCCCAAGACAGAAACUGAAACUUGUUGGGUGAUAACAAUCCACUCCCCCCGUGAAAGAUACUGUGGAGAAGAACUCUAGGCAUAGCUCCAAAUACACCGGCACUUGAAUUCGAAAGACCCGGCUCCACCCAUCACGAAUCAUUGUUUCUCCUUCAUAGGUAAACUCCUUUAAAAGAUACGGAGCUAACUCCUCUUCAUAGCGUAUUCCCUGCAACCAAUCCCAAUCUAUCCUAUUGGGCACGUAUAUUUCCUUCUUCCUUAUGUCGGCUAACUUCUUCUUCCACUUCCGCAUUGUUGAAGCGGACUCAAUUUGUGGGAAAUUUAACCAAGGAAAGUCCCCUUGGUGUCCCCCAGAACUUUGCCCCCUGCUGAACAUUCUUUCUGCAAAACAAAGAUACAAAACCUAGAAACAUAGAUUAUAAUUAAAAAAAAACGUCAUGCACAUGUUUCUCGACUCGACUCGGCAAGUCGCAAGAACUGCACGAGUCAGUCGGCGGGUCGGUCUAAAUUGGACCAGGAAAUCUCAAAAUUUCUUCAAGGGUUUUGUCUAGACACAUGUUUAAUAAGGUAUUAGGUAAGAAUAAGCAUGCAAAACAUCAUAAUUCAUGAAAAAUCGAAACCCUAGAAAUUUAAUAAUUUUCAAAAUCGGUUUUUUCUAUGCAAUUUCCAUCAUAGAUAGCCUUAAAAUCAUACUUUUAACAGAAAAGAGGAAGAAAUUUGUUACCUUUUGUGAUGAAACUUGAAAAUUUUGAAGAAUAAUGGAAGAGGAACACUUGAAUGCUUGAGAAAGAAUUGAGGGAGAGGCGCACGACGAGUGUGUGUGAAAAAGAAACUGAUUCAUUAGGGUUAAAACCCUAGUUACCGGUUAUAAAAGUAAUUUCAAUAUUUUUUUUCUAUAAAUAAUACCGAUUCGUCGAGUCGGGGUCAGACUCGGUGAGUCUUUUGCAAAAAAAAAUUCAAAAUUUAUAAACUUUUGUCAAUUAUUUAGAAAAGGAAAUUUAUUUCAUCCCACACUUAGUCCAUACGCACUCUCAAGCAGACAUGUCCGAUGCAUUGGAGAAUUAAAAGUCUAAAAACGAAGGAAAGUUUUCAAACAAAACUAAAAAAAAGUAAAAGAAAGCAAACUCUAAAUAACGGGUUGCCUCCCGCCAAGCGCUUCUUUUUAAGGAGUCGUUAGCUGGACUCCUUCCCGUCUACGUCUCGUCAUCUUCCAGCAUCGGGAAUGCACGUCUAGUCUUUUGUGGUUUGUACUUCGUUUUAUAAGCGUGAAUCUUCUUUUUGUAAGCCCGUUUUGCUUCCUCUCUCUUCUUUUUCAUAACAUCAUUCUCAGCUGCUUGGGCUUCCAUUCUCCUCUUUUUCUUCUUCACCCCAUUCGUUUUCACCUUCUUUUGCACUUCUUUUCCUUCAAACUGAAUUACUUCGUAUUUUGUGAAGGUGCGUGCUCUAGGUUUGGUAAUGGAUGGUUGAUCAGCUUUCACACUCCUUUCUUUUGCCUCCCCUUCUUUUUCUGUGCUCACCCCAUCUUCAAGUGUAAUUGCAUUAAGACAUGCUAUAUAGACGUGUUGAACUUCCGUAUCCAUGUUUUCUUUUUCUGUUUGUUCUCCUAAAAAAGGAGGAAAAUUUUCCAAAUCCAGAUUAUACAGAGGACUAGCAACCAGCAGAUCCAAACCGUCCAAGUUAUUAUCAAAUUCGACUGGACUCUUCGAGUCCAGUAAAGUGACUCAGCGAGUCUGAUCGUAUUCCACCAUUUCUUGGGUGUUUUCUGAGUCGGCUUCUUCCAGUAGCUUUUCUAACUCCUCCAAGUCCUUGUUAACAUCUCCAUCCUCCCCAAAAUGUAGCAGAAACUUGGUUGGAUCUUCUUAUUGCAAAAGUUCAAGUUCUUUUUGUAAUAUCUCAUCAUCCAAAUGGAUAAAUGAGAUGUUUUCUUUUUCUUUCCUCUUCUUGCUUGGCUUCUGGUAAAGCUUUAAAUAUUACAGACUCAUCACCCACCCUCAAUGUUAAUGUAGACUCGCAUACAUCAAUUAAGGCACAUGCGGUGUUUAAAAAUGAUCUCCCCAAAAUGAUUGGAAUUUUGGGGUCUUCUUCCAUGUCAACCACCACAAAGUCUACCGGAAAUAUAAACUUGUCAACUUUAAUAAGGAGAUCCUCACAAACGCCUUGUGGAUGAAUUAUUGUCUUGUCUGCCAAAUGGAUCUUCAUAUUUCCCGGUCUUGGCUCCGGUAAAUUCAACCUCUUAAAGAAAGUGAAAGGCAUCAGAUUGAUGGUUGCACCCAAGUCGGUCAAUGCUUGGGUGACAACUUCAUUACCAAACUGGCACGGAAUUAUAAUAUUCCCCGGAUCGGCCUUCUUUUCGGGUAGCUCACCCAAUAGUAUAUCCGCGACUUCAGCCAAAUCUUUCCUAGAAGCAAAAAGACCUUUUAGCAAGUUGAAGUAUUUUGGUGUCUGGAGCAUCGUUUCCACAAAUGGCAUAUUAACUUGGAGGGCUUUAACAUGCUUCAUAAAGGUUCUAUAUGCUUCAACUUUUUCUGCAGGCAUGCCUUUAAUUGGUUAUGGCAAAGGAGGAUUAUAUGGCUUUAAAGGACUGACAGUUUUAUCAUUCACGCACGGACUCGUCGAGUCCAUUAGAGGGACUCGGUGAGUCAGGUCGGGUUUUGCUGGAGCCGACUCUUCUGCCCUUUUUGUCUUCCUCUUGGAGAUCCUCUGUGCAUCUGUAAAAAUUUCUUCUUUACUGGAGGUCACUGCACUCACAUUCUCCAUUCUCGGAUUGGUUUCGGUAUUACUUGGAAGUUGACCCGGUCUUCUUUCGUUCACUUGGUGUGCAAGCUGUCCCAGCUAUUUCUCAAUGUUGAGAAUGGAUGCCUGCUGAUUCCUUAGAAUGUUUCUGGUCUCAUGUAUUGCAGCAUCGUGAUCAUUGUGUCUCUUUUUGGACGCGACUAUGAAUCUAGUGAAUAUUUCUUCCAAAUCAGCUUUCUUUUCUACCAGUUCUUCUCUUUGAUAUAGUCCCCUCUCCUUCUGCUUGUAUUUUUCCUCCUUGGCCUUCUUAUACUCUUCGUAUGGGAGCCAUUCCCUCUUAGGUUUUCACCAAUUCUCGUCGUAUCGAUCGCCACUUGAAUAGAAGACUUGAGCUUUCUUAUUUCCAUUCUCAUCCAAAUCACAAUCCUUGGUGAGAUGGGGCCCUCUACAAUUUUCACAUCCCACCCUCAUAGCAUGGAUUGUUUGAUCCAUUUUUGUCAUUCUUCUAUCAAGACUAUCAAGCUUAGCUAUCACCGCCACUAUGCUAUCAUUUGUCGCGUUCACUACUCCCCGACUUACUUCGUUUCUUGGACUGUGGUAUUCUCUAGAGUGCUUAGAGAAUUCUUCAACUAGCUCCUUGAUUACCGGGGGCACCUUCUUCGUGAGUGGACCUUGAGAAUCUAGCAAUUGCCUUAUGGUGACAUUAACUCCAUCGUAUAAAAUGGAGACCUCUUGUUGGCUAUUAAGGUCGUGAUGUGGGCAAUUUCUAAGAAAACUCUUGUACCUUUCCCAUGCUUCAUAAAGAGAUUCUUCAGGCUAUUGCUCAAAGUUGGCAAUUGCUUUCUUUAGCUUGGCUAUUUUGGAGGGCGGACAAAAGUGAUCUAUGAACUCCUCUUUCAUCUUGGCCCAUGUGGUGACUGAUCCGGGAGGAAGUGACUUUAACCAAUCCUUUGCAGCUCCUUUGAACGUGACUGGGAGCAUGAAAAGAAGCUGGGUCUCGCGGGGGACAUUCGGUACAUUGAAGUAGUCGGCCGCAUCAUUCACUUCGUCCAAGUGUUUGUAGGCGUCUUCGUGAUCCUUCCCAUAAAAAGGAAUCUCCUUGAGUUGAGUGAGAAUAUGGCCUUUUAGUUCGAAAGUGGCGGUUGCGGGAAUUGCGGGCUGCACAAGUCCCGGGCCGGUGUCAUCGUGCAUCCUCUUCUUCCAUUCCCCCAUGGGGACUUCAUCGAUAUUAGCCAUAGUGGUGACUAAAUCGUCUUCAAAAUCGGAGUCGUGCUCGAAUGUGGGUUCUUCUUCUUCCUCGGUCUCGUAUUCGAUAUCUUCUUGAAUUGGGUCUUCAAUAGUCAAAGAGGCACUGGAUGCUCCGGAUUUGCUGCUCCUCUUCUUGCUGAACAUGGACUUGAGGUUUUUGAGUGGCGAUUUCUUUGAAGAAGCGGAUUCUCCAAUGGCUUUGCCUUUGCUCUUCCUUAGUGCGGAUUUCGGGUCUUCAAGAGGGGGGACCAGAGGUGUAUCAGAUCCUCGGGUCAUGAAACAACUGUAAAUAAAAUAGAAAAAUGCGUAAAAGGAACAAAAAUAAAAUAAAAUAUUAAAACUGAAACAGCGAUGUACUCGCCGAGUCGGCACGAGUGCACUCGGCGAGUUCAAGGCAAAAAACAGAAAAUUUUUCUAGUUACUCUAAAAAUGGAAUUUUAUUAAAACUAAUUCUACUUACUGAAUUGCUUCUUAAAUAACUUUGUGUGAGAUAAAUCUCACACAAAGGAUCGAUUAAAUUAGAAUUUAAUGUUAAUUUUUAGAACCGUUCCCCGGCAACGGCGCCAAAAACUUGAUGUGUGCAAACUCACUUAGUUUUAAACUUACUUUUAAUUAUCAAAUAACACACAAAAGGCAGUGAACCUAUCAAUUGUGGUAUAGUUAAAUAAGCAGGGUAUCGAUCACAGGAAACGGCAAAUUAAAAUUAAAAACUAAUUUUAUCUAAGUUAAUUAAUAAGUAGGGGUUUUAUCUAGUUUUACAAGACUAGAAACUUACUAACUAUUACUUACUUAAAAACUAGAAAACAAAAUACUAACUAGAUUCAAUAAAUGGAAGGGAACUUCUGUUUAGUUCAACUUAGUUGAUUCUAUGGUUGAUUUCAAGGUAAUGGUGCAAUGGAUUAAUUCUUUCGUUGGUUACCGAUUCAAGUGAUUAGAUUCGCAUUCACUACACUAAUCCUUAGCAAAUAAACUAACUUAAACAGUGGCCAGUUGUCUAAUUUAAUUAGAUUUACUAGAUUAAUUAUUCGGGUUAAUUUAGACUUGNAAUUAUUAUUCACAUACAAGGUUCUUUAGCAAGCUAAAAUAACAAAAAUUCACCAACUUAGAAUUAAUCCUACCAAUCAAUCAAACCAUAUUGUCAACUUUGUAUCCCCAAACAGAAGUCUAAAGGUUUUAGCUCAUAAUUGAAGUAAAUAACAGCAAACAAACAAAGUCAAAUUGUUUAACCAUAAUGAAAAAACAAAAGAAUAAGUGGAAUGAUGAAAUUUUGCCUCAAUUAUUCUUUGAGAUUGAAUUCUAGCUUCUCUCGUCGUCUUCUAGGGUUUUUCUACCUUCUCAAUCGCAGCUAAACUCUUCUGAAUCAUUCCAGAAUUCCUCCCCAUCGUUCUGAGGAGUUAUCUCUAUAUAUAUGAAUCGACUCGUCGAGUCAGGUGGCGACUCGUCGAGUCCAUCUCUUAGUCCCCGUAUUGUGAUAAGUCUCUGGGAUCCCGAGUCAUUAUCUUCUCGAUUCUUCGAUCAGACUCGCCGAGUAGUCGACCCUACUCGCCGAGUAGGUGUUAUUUUUGGUGUUUUUCUUCUUUAUUCCAUUCUUGAUCUCUCAACUGCUUCUCCCGCUUCCUUCUGCUUCCGAGCU